RNAcentral lists this long non-coding RNA (719 nucleotides) under Cicer arietinum (chickpea). RNAcentral describes it as "long non-coding RNA (CARI_LNC001489)". Lineage: Eukaryota; Viridiplantae; Streptophyta; Magnoliopsida; Fabales; Fabaceae. The record is from RNAcentral.
CUUGGCAUCCUUCCAUCACCAGCACCUUCACCCAACUCACCAGAAACAUCAGUACCAGCACCAGCACCAUCACCAGCAGGCUCAACCACAACAGCAGGCGCCUUAGCCUCACCGGUAGCCUCGCCUUCACUGGCAGCCUCGCCUUCAACGGUAGCCUCACCCUCACCCUCACCAAACUCAUAUUCUUCAUCAUCCUCUUGAGGUGGAGGAGGAUGAGGAUCGAAAACUUCGAGGGGAAUUUGAGAGUGUCCCUGUGGUCUUCUUAUAGUUUUUCCUCCGCGGAAAUACGGAGAAGAAAGGCGAUGCACAGGAAUUCGAUUCCUCUGCACCCUUUCAACCCUUGCCCACUGACCACCCCUUGUCACCCUUCCAUCACCAGCACCUUCACCCACAUCCUCAUCAGCAGCAGCAAUAAGCACCAGCACCCUCACCGGCAGGCUCAACCACAACAACAGGCGCCUCAUGCGCCUCAGCCUCACCCACAUUCUCACCAGCAGCAAUAUCAGCACCAACACCCUCACAGGCAGGCUCAACCACAAUAGGCGCCUCAUGCGCCUCAGCCUCACCGGUAGCCUCACCGGUAGCCUCACCAAACUCAUAUUCUUCAUCAUCCUCUUGAGGUGGAGGAGGAUGAGGAUCGACAACUUCGAGGGGAAUUUGAGAGUGUCCCUGUGGUCUUCUUAUAGUUCUUCCUCUGCAGAAAUACGGAGAAGAAAGGC